GGAUUUAUAGCUCAACGGUAGAGCAAUCGGCUGUUAACCGAUAGGUUGUAGGUUCGAGACCUACUGAAUCCG
RNAcentral lists this transfer RNA (72 nucleotides) under Saprospiraceae bacterium. RNAcentral describes it as "tRNA-Asn". It matches the Rfam family "tRNA". From Rfam's summary of the family: Transfer RNA (tRNA) molecules are approximately 80 nucleotides in length. Their secondary structure includes four short double-helical elements and three loops (D, anti-codon, and T loops). Further hydrogen bonds mediate the characteristic L-shaped molecular structure. tRNAs have two regions of fundamental functional importance: the anti-codon, which is responsible for specific mRNA codon recognition, and the 3' end, to which the tRNAs corresponding amino acid is attached (by aminoacyl-tRNA synthetases). tRNAs cope with the degeneracy of the genetic code in two manners: having more than one tRNA (with a specific anti-codon) for a particular amino acid; and 'wobble' base-pairing, i.e. permitting non-standard base-pairing at the 3rd anti-codon position. Lineage: Bacteria; Pseudomonadati; Bacteroidota; Saprospiria; Saprospirales; Saprospiraceae. The record is from RNAcentral.